CUACGAGUUUGAUCCUGGCUCAGAACGAACGCUGGCGGCAGGCUUAACACAUGCAAGUCGAACGCCCCGCAAGGGGAGUGGCAGACGGGUGAGUAACACGUGGGAACAUGCCCAAAGGUACGGAAUAUUCUCGGGAAACUGGGAGCAAUACCGUAUGUGCCCGAAAGGGGAAAGAUUUAUCGCCUUUGGAUUGGCCCGCGUUGGAUUAGCUAGUUGGUGGGGUAAAAGCCUACCAAGGCGACGAUCCAUAGCUGGUCUGAGAGGACGACCAGCCACACUGGGACUGAGACACGGCCCAGACUCCUACGGGAGGCAGCAGUGGGGAAUCUUGGACAAUGGGCGCAAGCCUGAUCCAGCCAUGCCGCGUGAGUGAUGAAGGCCCUAGGGGUGUAAAACUCUUUCGUGGGGGACGAUAAUGACGGUACCCCAAGAAGAAGCUCCGGCUAACUUCGUG
Molecule: ribosomal RNA, 454 nt
Filed under: uncultured bacterium
Lineage: Bacteria
Description: bacterial SSU rRNA
Rfam family: Bacterial small subunit ribosomal RNA
Source: RNAcentral